RNAcentral lists this ribosomal RNA (132 nucleotides) under uncultured bacterium. Its description in RNAcentral is "partial 16S ribosomal RNA". It matches the Rfam family "Bacterial small subunit ribosomal RNA", at positions 355 to 482 of the family's 1533-position model. The record is from RNAcentral.
UAGGGAAUUUUCGUCAAUGGGCGCAAGCCUGAACGAGCGAUGCCGCGUGAGUGAAGAAGGCCUUGGUCGUAAGCUCUGUUGCGGGGGAAAAAAGGCAGCAUCAGGAAAUGGGUGCUGACUGAUGGUGCCCCG